AGAGUCAAUCGGGUAAUUACUUUUAGUCCGCAGCUUGCGCCACUAAGAGAGGAAAGUCCGAGCACUGCAGGACAGGAUGCCUCCUAACAGGAGGAGCUACAUUAUCUAGUAUGGAGAGUGCAACAGAAAAGAUACCGCUUCAUUUUAUGAAGUAAGGGUGAAAUGGAGGUGUAAGAGACCACCAGUCCUUUCUGAAAAGUAAGGAGCUUGUAAACCCCAUCUAGUGCAAGAUCAAGUAUACUCCAAGAUGUUGUCCGCAUCAUUUGAGGAGAGGGUUGGUUGCAGGAUUUAUUUAGCAAUAAAUAAACCAGAUGAAUGAUUAUCAAUAACAGAACUCGGCUUAUAGAUUGACUCUAUGA
This 359-nucleotide RNase P RNA is filed under the name Fidelibacterota bacterium. RNAcentral describes it as "RNase P RNA component class A". It matches the Rfam family "Bacterial RNase P class A". From Rfam's summary of the family: Ribonuclease P (RNase P) is a ubiquitous endoribonuclease, found in archaea, bacteria and eukarya as well as chloroplasts and mitochondria. Its best characterised activity is the generation of mature 5'-ends of tRNAs by cleaving the 5'-leader elements of precursor-tRNAs. Cellular RNase Ps are ribonucleoproteins. The record is from RNAcentral. Lineage: Bacteria; Pseudomonadati; Fidelibacterota.